UUCGGCUAAAAACCGCUCGAUCUCAAAUCGAGUAUUUCAGGCUGCAUACCGCUAAGCCGAAACUUCGAUAAAUCAUAACUUUCUCAUACGAAGUCAGAUUUGGGCGUUCUAUAUAUAUUCGGAAACCUCGUUUCAACUACUAUAACAUUAUUCAAAGAUAUUAAGUUUAUUUUACACUUAAAUUUUGACGCUUAUUUUUUUAAUUCUUAGUUAAUCAAACCACAUAAUUAAGCAAUUAAGCACAAAACACAUAAUACUCAAAUAAUACAAUCUUAUUAUUUCAAAACGGGUUACAAAGGUUAACCUAGACUAUUACAUUGCUAAAAAUGGCAAGCCCGGAAACACAGGCGUUACAAUUCUCUCCACCUUAGAAUGAUUCCGUCCCCGGAAUCACACAUCAACAAACAAAUGCGGAUAGCGACUCAACAUGUCACUCUCCGUCUCCCAGGUGAGAUUCGGCCCAUUCGUGUGUUUCCAUCGGACAAGCACUAACCCAACCAUUUUGCGUCGCAACUUCUUAGUCUUUCGGUCAACAAUUGCCUCUGGUUCUUCAAUCAACCUUUUGUUCUCAUCAAUUCUCAAUUCAGAAAUUGGAAUUAUAUCGGGAACUUCUCCCGUGAACUUCCUCAAAUAACACACAUGAAAGGUGUUGUGAAUUCCAUUCAGUUCUUCGGGUAAUUCGAGCUUGUAAGCUUGAUUCCCAAUCCUCUGAAGGACUUUAAACGGUCCAAUAAACCUUGGACUCAACUUUCCCCUUUUACCAAAUCUUAUAAGUCCCUUCCACGGCGAGACUUUAAGCAAAACCGAAUCUCCAACCUCAAAAGUCAUCGGUCUUCGCUUCUUGUCAGCAUAGCUCUUUUGACGAUCUUGAGCUGCUAACAUUCUUUCCCUAAUUAUUUUCAACUUUUCAGCAGUUUGAUGAACCAUCUCCGGUCCCAUAAACUGCUUUUCCCCAGCCUCAAGCCAACAAGACGGCGUACGACACUUCUGUCCAUACAAAGCUUGAUAAGGUGCCAUCUUAAUGCUCGAGUGAAAACUAUUAUUAUAGGAAAAUUCUACCAACGGUAAAUGUUCAUCCCAAUUACCUAGGAAUUCCAAGGUACAUGCUCUCAGCAUAUCUUCAAGUGUUUGUAUUGUUCUUUCACUCUGACCAUCAGUCUGCGGAUGGUAAGCUGUGCUUAAACAUAACUUGGUACCCAUUUCCUCUUGUAGACUUUUCCAAAACCUUGAGGUGAAACGGCUAUCACGAUCCGAUACAAUCGUUAACGGAACACCGUGAAGCCUCACAAUUUCCUUCACGUAAGAAUUCGCAAGCUUUUCCAUAGACCAUUUCUCCCUGGCCGCUAUGAAAUGCGCACUCUUAGUGAAUCGAUCAACGACCACCCAAAUCAUGUCGUGACCAUUCUUUGUUCUGGGCAGUUUAGUGACAAAAUCCAUAGCAAUGUCUUCCCACUUACCCAUAGGCACAGGCAAUGGUUCUAAACUCCCGUAAGGUUUCUGAUGUUGUGUCUUGACUCUCGCACAAGUCACACACUCGGCCACAUACUUUGCAACAUCAAGCUUCAUCGUCGGCCACCAGUAGUAGGGUUUCAGGUCCCUAUACAUUUUAGUGCUACCCGGAUGAAUUGAGUACAUGGUUUUGUGAGCUUCUUCCAUCAGAAGAUCCCUAAUUCCUCCUGACUUAGGUACCCAAAUACGAUCUUGGAAUACCUUCAGUCCAUGACCGUUAGUACCAAACACCAACGUUUUACCCAAACGUUCCUCCUUUCGGUCAUUUUUCUCAGAAGCUUCCUCUUGAGCUUUCUUUAUACUUUCCACAAUAGUCGAGACAACUUCAAUUCUCAACGCUCUUGGCCUCUUCCUUUCAAGAUUGACUUUCCGACUGAGAGCAUCAGCAACAACAUUAGCUUUACCGGGGUGGUAAAGUAUCUCGCAGUCGUAGUCUUUAAGUAAUUCUAGCCAGCGUCGUUGCCUCAUAUUCAAUUCUUUCUGAUUAAAGAGGUAUUGGAGACUCUUAUGAUCAGUGAAAAGUUUGCACUUCGUGCCAUAGAGGUAAUGCCUCCAUAUUUUCAGAGCGAAAACUACCGCUGCCAACUCCAAAUCAUGAGUCGGGUAAUUCUUUUCAUGCUCUUUCAGCUGUCGAGACGCAUAUGCUAUCACCUUUUCUCUUUGGGUCAAAACACAACCCAAUCCAACACCAGACGCAUCGCUAUAAACAGCGAAGUCUUCAACUCCAUCGGGUAGAGAAAGUAUCGGUGCCUCGCAUAGCUUCUUCUUUAACUUCUCGAAUGCUUCUUUAUGCUUCUCACUCCAAGCAUAAGUAGCUCCUUUGUGGGUCAAAGCUGUUAAUGGAGUAGCAAUCGAAGAAAAGCCUUGGAUAAACCUUCGGUAAUAUCCGGCUAAUCCUAAAAAGCUUCGAAUCUCCGUGGGACUUUUCGGUUGUUCCCACUUCGUCACAGCUUCGAUCUUCGCUGGAUCAACCAUUAUCCCUUCUUGGUUGACCACGUGACCCAAGAAUUGGACCUCACGAAUCCAAAAAUCACAUUUGGAGAACUUCGCAUAAAGCUUCUCCUUCUUCAAAACUUCUAACACUUCUCGCAAGUGUCUGCCAUGCUCCUCCUGGCUUUUCGAGUAGAUCAGAAUGUCGUCUAUGAACACUAUCACGGAUUUAUCAAGGAAAGGAUUACAAACCCUAUUCAUCAAAUCCAUGAACGCUGCUGGAGCAUUGGUUAGUCCAAACGACAUAACCAAGAACUCGUAGUGUCCAUAUCUAGUUCUGAAUGCAGUCUUCUCGAUAUCUUGCUCUCUUACUUUCAGCUGAUGAUAUCCUGACCUAAGAUCGAUCUUCGAGAAAUAGCUCGAACCUUGCAAUUGAUCAAACAGGUCAUCAAUCCUCGGCAACGGAUAUCUAUUCUUUAUUGUUGCCUUGUUCAGCUCUCUGUAAUCGAUGCACAUUCUCAUACUUCCAUCUUUCUUCUUUACAAAUAACACCGGAGCUCCCCAGGGCGAUGAACUAGGUCUAAUGAAACCUUUGUCCAAUAACUCCUGAAGUUGCAUCAUCAGCUCCUUCAUCUCCGUCGGUGCUAAUCGAUAAGGUGCUUUUGCUAUUGGCGUGGUUCCUGGUAACAAGUCUAUUCUGAACUCCACUUGUCUAUCAGGUGGUAAUCCAGGAAGAUCCUCGGGAAAUACUUCCGGAUAAUCACACACCACUGGAAUGCUCUGCAUCACCUUCUUUUCUUUCUUAGCAUCAAUCACGAAUGCUAAAUAUGAUGUACAUCCCUUGGUCAAACACUUUCUGGCUUUCAUUAGAGAAAUGAUUCCAGAAUUCACUCUGCGUUUGUCCCCAUACACCAUAAACGAAUCUUUCCCAGGCGGGUUUACUUUAACUAUCUUCUUCUUGCACAAAAUUUCGGCAUCAUUGGCGCUAAGCCAAUCCAUUCCCAAGACGAUGUCGAAACCAUUUAGUUCGAUAGGCAAUAAUUCCUCGAGAAACUUAUUCCCAUUAAGGUCGAUCAAGACGUUUUUCAUACGAUGGCUAACAGGUACAAACUUGCCACUAGCUACUUCGACUAAUAAAGCAUUAUCUAGUCUAUCAACAGGCAAAGCUAGCUUUCUACCAAACUCAUGCGAAAUAAAGGAGUAGUUGGCUCCAGAAUCAAACAAUAUAUGAGCAGGUAAUUCGUUUACGAGAAAGGUACCUGAAGCGACAUCAGCUUCAUCUUUCGCAGCCUCAAGUGUCAUCUGGAAGGCUCUCGCCUUCGGCUUUGGUGGAAUGUUGGGCCUAGCUGCCUCCUUCUUCUUCGGACAGUCUUUCAAAAUAUGCCCCUCUUCAUUACACCCAAAACACAUCCUUUUGUUGUUCGGACAUUCAUUGGCAAAAUGUCCAACCUUUCCACACUUGUAGCAGGUCACAUCCUCGCUACAUUUCCCAAAGUGCUUUUUCUUACACUUAUCACACCACUUUGCUUCGCCUCCUUUUCCUCCAAACUUUUUCGAAUCAGAUUUCGAAAAUUUGCUCUUCUUACUGGAACCAGAUGUUCCUUCAAACUUCCUUUUCUCACCAACCUCAACCUUGACGGUGGUUCUCCCCUUGAUCAUGUUCUCCACAGACUUGGCAGCCCAGAUAGCUGCCUCUAGAGUAAGUGCCUGACGUACCGGCACCUCGUACUCCCAUGGAAGUCCCUUCGCAUACCGAUCCACCUUUGUCAGCUCGUCUGGAACGAUACGCAAGGCAAACUCCAUCUUAUCGGUGAAGUUAUUGGUGUACUCAUCCACUGACAUGCUACCCUUCGUCAAUGUCAAAAACUUGUUCUCCAACUCCAACAGAUUUUGAGCCGAGCAGAACUUGCGCUUGAACUGCACCAAGAACUCUGCCCAUGACAAUUGCAGUGGCUCAUUAGGGCUUAAGGUCUUCCCUAGAGUGUUCCACCAACGAACGGCUCCACCUCGGAAUUGUCGCACGGCAUAGAUAGUCUGCAACUUGCCUCUACAGCCACAUGUCAUAAAGGCUAACUCCAUUUCGGAGAUCCAAUCCAUAACCCCAAUCGGAUCCUCCUUUCCAUUGAAGGUCGAUGGUUUACAAGUCAAAAAGUCCUUGUACUUGCAUCCCAUUCCAUCAUUCCUUCCAUCAUGGUUAUCUUGCCUAACUAUCGGUGGGUUGGCUGGACCAACAGACCCACUGAAGUUUCCACCUUCCGAGUGCCCUUCAUUCAGUUCAGGCUCUUCCACACGAAUCGACAGUUCUUCACGAUUUUGUUGAAGCAACCGUCUAGUUUCAUCCAUCUGACGAUCCAACAUCGUCUGAAUCAUCAAUUGCACACCAGCCAUGGUUAUUGGCUCAGGUGCUGCUGCUACGACAGGUAUUGGCUCAAUCACUGGUGGUUGAUUCCUGUUUUCGUCAGCAUUUCCAACUCCACUUCUUGUUCUCACCAUUUUGAUCUACACCGAAUAAGGUGAAAUUAGAUCCUCAAUCAUGAUAGAUAUUCAAAUCAUCCUUAUCACUCCGAAACGUUUACAUGCUAGUUCUAAUAUCGUAGACGUACGCUUAGAAUCCUACACACAUAAGGUUUCUAGAUCCGGUCGGCAACAGACCAUAGAUCCGAACAAAUAAUAUCAUAUAUGGCAACAUAUAACAUUUAGCACAUAAAGCAUUUUAGGCAACUUUCCUAAAAUAAACUAGUGCUCGUGUCUAAAUCACAACAGACACACAUCUCAAAACUUCACUUAGCAUUCUAAGUUUAAGUCUAGAAAUCCUACAAAUUCCUAGUUCGCUUAAACUAAUGCUCUGAUACCAACUGUGACAUCCCCAAAAUCUCGGCCAGAAAAGACCGAUUUUCAUUUAUGCUUUUAAAUAUUUUCAGAGUAAAUCCUUUUGAUUUGAAAGAGUUGCGGAAUUUGUUCCCAAAAACAAAACAUGAUAAAACAUUGUUUACCGAAGCAUUUCAUAAAAGAAAUGUAUUUUCAUUAUAAUCAAAACUCGGGGUGUCAUGUUCCGAUACAGACCAAUAAGCAUAAACGAAUACAUUACAAGUCAUAUAACAAAUAUAAACAUAUGCAGACUUGUAAACAAAACAACUUGAUGGUUCAUCCAUCUCAUGCCCUUCCGCCACUACCUGUAAUACAAUUUAAAACUGAGUGGGUCAGGCUUGGGAGCCUGGUGAGCAUAUAGGGUUUUCAACCCACAAUAAAUAUCAUAUUUAAUUUUCACCAACCAACAAUAACCCAAUUACCCAUUCCCGUUAUUCUCACUUUAAUGUCCCUAAAACAACUAACAUAAGGGACCUAGUCUAAGAAUAUUUCAUCGGGGCGACAACACAUGCUUCGGGGGUACCUCAGCAAUAUAAGUCAAAUAAGGCAACCAUGAGGGGGAUGGAGUACAGCGAAUGAACACCCAAGUUCAUUAACACCUACAGGUGGCGAACCUGCUAAUGUUUCCACAAGACUGUCUAGAAUAGCCAGUGGUCGUCAUCUAAACUCCGCUAGAUGACUCAAUCAAACAACAACGAGGCCUCUCAUCUGUUUAUUACACACCAACUGUCUACCCAUGUUCUACCCAACAUAUUAGUAGAUAAAAAUAUACAUUUGUAUACAUAGUUUAAAGAAAACCUGUAUAGCAUGCUUUAAUCAACACAUAUAUCACAUAACAGAUGAGGCACACACACACAUAACACAUAUCUCAUAAAGAAAUAAGCAGAUCUAUAAGAUAGAAGAGAGUGAAUACUCAUUCACACAUAACACAACCAAAUAUAUACACAUAGCACGUAUUUUUAUAUAAAAUACUUCGUAUUAUUGUAUUAGAAGAAAUAACUACACACUCACUUGAUCAGAAGACGAUCCGACAGCACUACGGCUUAUAGAAGUAGUAAUCCACAGCAGAUCUGGAAGAUCUCCUCGAAAAUCGAACUUCUCGCGGGCAGAGCUUCGACUCGGGAACCGCACUUCUCGGGAUCUUCGGGAUCUCGGGACUUGCCUCGGGGCUAGAGUAUGAUACCGGGACUUCGGGGUAGCUUCGGGGGUUUUUGCACAGAGCUUCGACACGAAAACGAGAGGGAAUUGGCAAAAAUACCCGGAACCCUCGCAUCCUAUUUAUAGGAGGCUGGAGCCUCGGAGUACGCGGGGCGUACUGCGUUACGCGGGGCGUACUGCCCAAAACGUCAUUGCUUACGUAUCCGAAGUGCUCGAGUGCGAGUGUCGACAUCCCUCGGAGUACGCGGGGCGUACUCGAGUACGCGGGGCGUACCUCGGAUCAGAUCGGUGACUCCUUCGGAUAAUGCUUCCGAAUUUUGAUUUAAAUUUAAAUACAAAAUGAUUAAUAAACUUCGGAAAUUCAUAACUUCUUCAUACGAACUCCGUUUUCGACGUUCUUUAUAUCCACGGAAAGGUGAGACCAUGCUCUACGACUUUCGUUUAGACUCCGUCGGCUAAUUUUGACUUUAUUUUUAUUAAUUAUUUUUAAUAGGCCGCGACAGAAACUUUCGUUAUAAAUUCAUAACUUCUUCGUUUGACGUCCGUUCUCGCCUAACUUUUUAUCGCUUCGAUACCAACAACGAGACCUUCGAUCCUCGUUUAGAUUGCUUCAGCUAAAAACCGCUCGAUCUCAAAUCGAGUAUUUCGGGCUGCACACCGCUAAGCCGAAAAUUCGAUAAAUCAUAACUUUCUCAUACGAAGUCAGAUUUGGGCGUUCUAUAUAUAUUCGGAAACCUCGUUUCAACUACUACAACAUUAUUCAAAGAUAUUAAGUUUAUUUUACACUUAAACUUUGACGCUUAUUUUU
This 7273-nucleotide long non-coding RNA is filed under the name Lactuca sativa (garden lettuce). RNAcentral's name for it is "long non-coding RNA (LSAT_LNC008588)". Lineage: Eukaryota; Viridiplantae; Streptophyta; Magnoliopsida; Asterales; Asteraceae. The record is from RNAcentral.